RNAcentral lists this ribosomal RNA (301 nucleotides) under uncultured bacterium. RNAcentral's name for it is "partial 16S ribosomal RNA". It matches the Rfam family "Bacterial small subunit ribosomal RNA", at positions 509 to 807 of the family's 1533-position model. The record is from RNAcentral.
CAGUCGCCGCGGGAAUACGUAGGUGGCAAGCGUUGUCCGGAAUUAUUGGGCGUAAAGGGCUCGCAGGCGGUUUCUUAAGUCUGAUGUGAAAGCCCCCGGCUCAACCGGGGAGGGUCAUUGGAAACUGGGAAACUUGAGUGCAGAAGAGGAGAGUGGAAUUCCACGUGUAGCGGUGAAAUGCAUAGAGAUGUGGAGGAACACCAGUGGCGAAGGCGACUCUCUGGUCUGUAACUGACGCUGAGGAGCGAAAGCGUGGGGAGCGAACAGGAUUAGAUACCCCUGUAGUCCCUGUCUCUUAUAC